This 176-nucleotide ribosomal RNA is filed under the name uncultured bacterium. RNAcentral's name for it is "partial 16S ribosomal RNA". It matches the Rfam family "Bacterial small subunit ribosomal RNA", at positions 1325 to 1500 of the family's 1533-position model. The record is from RNAcentral.
GCUGGAAUCGCUAGUAAUCGCGAAUCAGAAUGUCGCGGUGAAUACGUUCCCGGGUCUUGUACACACCGCCCGUCACACCAUGGGAGUCGGAAAUGCCCGAAGCCGGUGACCCAACCAAAAGGAGGGAGCCGUCGAAGGCAGGUCUGAUAACUGGGGUGAAGUCGUAACAAGGUAUC